GAUGAACGCUGGCGGCGUGCCUAAUACAUGCAAGUCGAGCGAACAGACGAGGAGCUUGCUCCUCUGACGUUAGCGGCGGACGGGUGAGUAACACGUGGAUAACCUACCUAUAAGACUGGGAUAACUUCGGGAAACCGGAGCUAAUACCGGAUAAUAUAUUGAACCGCAUGGUUCAAUAGUGAAAGACGGUUUUGCUGUCACUUAUAGAUGGAUCCGCGCCGCAUUAGCUAGUUGGUAAGGUAACGGCUUACCAAGGCAACGAUGCGUAGCCGACCUGAGAGGGUGAUCGGCCACACUGGAACUGAGACACGGUCCAGAUUCCUAAGGGAGGCAGCAGUAGGGAAUCUUCCGCAAUGGGCGAAAGCCUGACGGAGCAACGCCGCGUGAGUGAUGAAGGUCUUCCGAUCGUAAAACUCUGUUAUUAGGGAAGAACAAAUGUGUAAGUAACUAUGCACGUCUUGACGGUACCUAAUCAGAAAGCCACGGCUAACUACGUG
This 497-nucleotide ribosomal RNA is filed under the name uncultured bacterium. Its description in RNAcentral is "partial 16S ribosomal RNA". It matches the Rfam family "Bacterial small subunit ribosomal RNA", at positions 28 to 507 of the family's 1533-position model. The record is from RNAcentral.